UUAUUUUAAUCUUAAUUGUUAAUUUUAUUUAUGUUUGGUGUUUUUAGAAAUAACUAUAAUUAUUAGUACUGUUUAUUGAAUUUAUAUAUUUUAUAUUUAUAGUUUAUUUUAUCUGUGAGGUGGUGAAUUAUUAUUAAUACUUUAGAAGUAAAUAAUAUUAUUGUACCUUUUGUAUCAGGGUUUAUCAAUUUAAUUUAUUUAUUUAAAUAAUUUUCCCGAAACUGCAAGGGAUAUCAUAAUUUGGUAUUUAUUGUUUUAUAAAUAUUAUGAAAUUUAUGAUAGGUAAUAUAUUUUAUUCAAUUGCUGAUAUCUGGUUUUUUGAUAGAUGAAUUUAAUUCAGGGUUAAUUUAAUUAAUUAUAUAAUUUUAUUUUAUAUUAUUUAUUUAAUCUAAGAUUAAAGGGGAUAAGCUCUUUUUUUAUUUUAUAACUAAUAUUUUAUUAUCUAAAAUUUUGUAGGAUUAACAAUGUCCUUCAUUUGUUUUAAAUAUUUUGUUAUUAUUAUUUUUUUGUUAAUAUAUUUUAAUUUAUUAUUAGUUUAAUUUUUUAUCAAUUCUUUUUAUUUAACAUUAAAAUAUAAUUUAUAAUGAUAAAAUUAGUAAUUUUGUUUAUUUAUUUAUAGUAACUCGGCAAAUUUGAUUUUCACCUGUUUAUCAAAAACAUGUCCUGUUGUUAUUUAUUUCAGGUCAAACCUGCUCAAUGAUUAAUUUAUAAUUAAUUUAAUAGCCGCAGUAUUUUGACUGUGCAAAGGUAGCAUAAUCAUUUGUCUUUUAAUUGAAGGCUUGUAUGAAUGGUUUCAUGAAAUUUCUGCUUUCUUUAUUUAAACUUUUGAAUUUAACUUUUUAGUUAAAAGGCUAAAAUUUAUUUAUGGGACGAGAAGACCCUAUAGAAAUUUAUAUUUAUAUUUGUAUUUACAUUUUUGUUUAUUAAUUAAUAUUUUUAUUUAUUUAAAUAUUUUGUUGGGGCGACUUAGAGAUUUUAUGAACUCUUUAUUUUUAUCUUUUAUUUAUUUAUAUUUAUUUUUGAUCCUUUAUUAUGGAUAAUAAGAUUAAUUUACCUUAGGGAUAACAGCGUAAUUCUUUCGGAGAGUUCUUAUCGAUGAGAGGGUUUGCGACCUCGAUGUUGGAUUAAAAUAAGCUUUAAGUGCAGUAGCUUAAUGUCUAGGUCUGUUCGACCUUUAAAAUUUUACAUGAUCUGAGUUCAGACCGGCGUGAGCCAGGUCGGUUUCUAUCUAUAAAAUGUUAGCAUACUUUAGUACGAAAGGAUUGAGUAUGCCAAUUAAAUUGUUAAUAUUAUGAUUAUUAUUAAUUU
This 1308-nucleotide ribosomal RNA is filed under the name Brachyplatys subaeneus. RNAcentral describes it as "16S ribosomal RNA". The stretch from base 1061 to 1219 matches the Rfam family "Archaeal large subunit ribosomal RNA", at positions 2542 to 2701 of the family's 2987-position model. Lineage: Eukaryota; Metazoa; Arthropoda; Insecta; Hemiptera; Plataspidae. The record is from RNAcentral.